ACGGGUGAGUAAUGCCUAGGAAUCUGCCUGGUAGUGGGGGACAACGUUUCGAAAGGAACGCUAAUACCGCAUACGUCCUACGGGAGAAAGCAGGGGACCUUCGGGCCUUGCGCUAUCAGAUGAGCCUAGGUCGGAUUAGCUAGUUGGUGAGGUAAUGGCUCACCAAGGCGACGAUCCGUAACUGGUCUGAGAGGAUGAUCAGUCACACUGGAACUGAGACACGGUCCAGACUCCUACGGGAGGCAGCAGUGGGGAAUAUUGGACAAUGGGCGAAAGCCUGAUCCAGCCAUGCCGCGUGUGUGAAGAAGGUCUUCGGAUUGUAAAGCACUUUAAGUUGGGAGGAAGGGUUGUAGAUUAAUACUCUGCAAUUUUGACGUUACCGACAGAAUAAGCACCGGCUAACUCUGUGCCAGCAGCCGCGGUAAUACAGAGGGUGCAAGCGUUAAUCGGAAUUACUGGGCGUAAAGCGCGCGUAGGUGGUUCGUUAAGUUGGAUGUGAAAUCCCCGGGCUCAACCUGGGAACUGCAUUCAAAACUGUCGAGCUAGAGUAUGGUAGAGGGUGGUGGAAUUUCCUGUGUAGCGGUG
RNAcentral lists this ribosomal RNA (585 nucleotides) under Pseudomonas sp. StFRB298. RNAcentral's name for it is "bacterial SSU rRNA". It matches the Rfam family "Bacterial small subunit ribosomal RNA", at positions 102 to 683 of the family's 1533-position model. Lineage: Bacteria; Pseudomonadati; Pseudomonadota; Gammaproteobacteria; Pseudomonadales; Pseudomonadaceae. RNAcentral also lists the same sequence under 4 other names. The record is from RNAcentral.